This 339-nucleotide ribosomal RNA is filed under the name Triticum aestivum (bread wheat). RNAcentral's name for it is "partial small subunit ribosomal RNA". Lineage: Eukaryota; Viridiplantae; Streptophyta; Magnoliopsida; Poales; Poaceae. The record is from RNAcentral.
AUGAAAUGCCUGAGUUGGAACUGCCGGGGGCUUGGGAACCACGAGGCAGUUUGGGAGCUUUGGAAAUUGAUGAAGCAAGAAGUGCCCACCUUGCUCUUUGUUUCAGAGACGAAGAUCAGGGCUAGAAGAGUAGAGAUCCUGCAACAAAGUCUUGGCUUUGCGGGAUGCUUUGUGGUGGAUAGUGCAGGACUAAGCGAAGGAAUCGGUCUGUUCUGGUCAAGUGAUGUUAAGGUUGAGUUGAAAAAUUACAGUUCUGGACACAUUGAUGUUAUGGUUCAGAAAGCUGAUGUUAUGGUGCGCCAAGAAAAGAACAUAGACACCAUAGUUGGCACUGUUUGA